RNAcentral lists this ribosomal RNA (345 nucleotides) under uncultured bacterium. RNAcentral describes it as "bacterial SSU rRNA". It matches the Rfam family "Bacterial small subunit ribosomal RNA", at positions 1150 to 1492 of the family's 1533-position model. The record is from RNAcentral.
UCCACGCCCUAAACGAUGAGGAAGGUGAGGACGACGUCAAGUCAUCAUGGCCCUUAUGGCUAGGGCUACACACGUGCUACAAUGGGGCGUACAGAGAGUUGCGAUACCGCGAGGUGGAGCCAAUCUCAUAAAGCGUCUCUCAGUUCGGAUAGCAGUCUGCAACUCGACUGCUUGAAGCUGGAAUCACUAGUAAUCGUAGAUCAGCAAUGCUACGGUGAAUACGUUCCCGGGUCUUGUACUCACCGCCCGUCACACCAUGGGAGUUGAUUUCACCCGAAAUCGGGAAGCCAACCUUCGGGGGGCUACCGCUUACGGUGGAAUUAGCGACUGGGGUGAAGUCGUAAC